UAUUAAACAUGUAGGUACCUAAGUCUUGCGUUCUAAAUGGUUCGUCGAGUGUUUAUUUUUUCGCAAAUGUUCGAUAGGUACUAGGUAGAUCAUUGUUCUUCAACGGCGGUCUUCGGCGUACCUACCUCCUCUUUUUCAAAGUGUUGUUUCAUUUGCAAGUUGCAACAAUCGAUAACAAUAGGUACCCAAUUACCCAUGUAGUAUUUUUACUUUAGAAAAUCCAAAAUAAACUAAAUUCCGAGAAGCUCCGGCUGUCGACUCGACUGACUAGUUGUUAGCACUUUCAGUCUUUCUAUUGUUUUAGUUUUAACUUUAGCUUAUAGAUGGCCCACUUUAUAAUAAUCUGCGAAAGAUCUUGGCCAAAAUAUCCCGGAGCUUUACGAUUUUGAAUUAUGUGAUAUCAGUGAUAAGAAAUUGAACUUUUUAAAAAAUUGUACAGAAUUGUGAAAGUUUAUGCUUGAAGUGAUUUUUUAGAAUCUUUCUAAAGGCAAAAUGGCACAAAACUCCAGAUUGAUUAGAAACUUGUUAUACGAAGUGAAAGACGCUACACUCGAUAAGAGUGUGAAGAAUUCUGUAAUUGGACCUUAUAUCAUGAAUUUAUGCAAAAAAUUUCAAGUUACCGAUGCUCAAUUGUGUAGGAAAAAAGAUGAAGCGGUGUAUUUAGCAGAUACAUAUCGAUGUUAUUUGGAAAGCUCUCGACGUUUUAAAGAACUUUGUGAAAAAUAUCAAGGUAGAGGCGAACGUAGUAUUAAACAAACUGCUGAUAUGGUUGGGUUCAAAUUACCUCAUGAUCCCAAGUAAAGUAAACUCAUCUUUUCAAGUUUAAUCCAAGGAAAGUGUCUGUGUCUAGUUGAAAAGUGUUUUUGUGUAGAACUUUCGUUCAUAUGACUCCUUUUGACUUUAAAAUCGUUGAUUUGAGAUACGAAGUAUAGAGAUUUAUUACAUUUGGAAUAUUAUUUAAAAUCCACUUUUGUUCGACUGUGUUUUAGUACCGAUGUUAGUGGAAGUGAUGUUUUUUUUUUGUUAAUUACCUUACGUUAAUUUACCGAAUAAAAGUAUAAUUUUU
Molecule: long non-coding RNA, 1066 nt
Organism: Planococcus citri (citrus mealybug)
Lineage: Eukaryota; Metazoa; Arthropoda; Insecta; Hemiptera; Pseudococcidae
Exons: 2
Source: RefSeq, a predicted model, not a curated record